Molecule: ribosomal RNA, 726 nt
Filed under: uncultured bacterium
Lineage: Bacteria
Description: bacterial SSU rRNA
Rfam family: Bacterial small subunit ribosomal RNA
Source: RNAcentral
AAUUCGAUUUGAGUUUGAUCCUGGCUCAGAUUGAACGCUGGCGGCAUGCCUUACACAUGCAAGUCGAACGGCAGCACGGGAGCAAUCCUGGUGGCGAGUGGCGAACGGGUGAGUAAUACAUCGGAACGUGCCCAGUAGUGGGGGAUAACCCGGCGAAAGCCGGACUAAUACCGCGUACGACCUACGGGUGAAAGCAGGGGAUCGCAAGACCUUGCGCUAUCGGAGCGGCCGAUGUCAGAUUAGCUUGUUGGCGGGGUAAAAGCCCACCAAGGCGACGAUCUGCAGCUGGUCUGAGAGGACGACCAGCCACACUGGGACUGAGACACGGCCCAGACUCCUACGGGAGGCAGCAGUGGGGAAUUUUGGACAAUGGGCGCAAGCCUGAUCCAGCCAUGCCGCGUGCGGGAAGAAGGCCUUCGGGUUGUAAACCGCUUUUGUCAGGGAAGAAACGCUCCGGGUUAAUACCCUGGAGUAAUGACGGUACCUGAAGAAUAAGCACCGGCUAACUACGUGCCAGCAGCCGCGGUAAUACGUAGGGUGCAAGCGUUAAUCGGAAUUACUGGGCGUAAAGCGUGCGCAGGCGGCUUUGCAAGACAGAUGUGAAAUCCCCGGGCUUAACCUGGGAACUGCAUUUGUGACUGCAUGGCUGGAGUGCGGCAGAGGGGGAUGGAAUUCCGCGUGUAGCAGUGAAAUGCGUAGAUAUGCGGAGGAACACUGAUGGCGAAG